This 575-nucleotide long non-coding RNA is filed under the name Junco hyemalis (dark-eyed junco). RNAcentral describes it as "lncRNA (ENSJHYG00000003481.1)". Lineage: Eukaryota; Metazoa; Chordata; Aves; Passeriformes; Passerellidae. The record is from RNAcentral.
UAAAGGCUGCAGCCCAUCUUGCAGCCAGCUGUUGGCCACCAGCUGAAUACUCCCUUCACAGGAAUAACAUGGAACAUACCUUGGAACUCCAUAAUGAAGGAGGUUAUCAUCCAGGAGUUAUACCCUGCUUGUUUUUAAACCUGCAAAGGGAAGAUACUGUGAACAAAGCAGUGAAGGCUCUCAGGUUCCUCCCCAGGUGCCAGGAGAGGAGUGGGGCUGUUUUGGAUCACCUGAGCACAGGGCUGGAUGCAACUGGGUUCUCAACAUCUGAAAGGGAUGGCGAAAUAAAUUACACAGAUCCCUGUGCAAGUCUGAUCAAGCUCUCAAAGGUGAGCCUUGCCAAAGAACUGCCUGCCUACCUAUGUCCUCAUUCCACGAUCCAGGUGACUUUUGUUCCACGGAGCCACACCUCAGCCUCUCACCUCACCGGGAGAGAAAACCUCCCAGACGUCUCAGUUUUGCAACCGAGCAGUUGUGCCCUUGUCGUGCUUCCAGCAUUUCCUCACAGCCCGCACUCAGAAACGAGGGCUGCGAGUCCCAGCCUCAGCAGGAACGUCUCCCCCAUCAUUAAAUAA